GGGUGCUCAAGCUCAACAGUCAUUGUGAGUAUUCCUCACUUUAUAUGCUCUUCGUGAUCUCAGGGGGAGUUGCUUAGCGUCUACUACUAGAAUUUUCCAUACAUAUUCCAACACUGUUGUGGGAAAAACCAUCUUGAAAAUGUAGAUCCAAUGUGACAGUUAUAACUUCAUAGGUUCAAUUACUGACAGUUUCUUUUAAUUAAUCGUCUUAUGGGUUUAUAAGACAUGUCCAUUCUGUUUCAAUUAUUAAAAUAAUCCUUUCAGAAAAACUUUUAGUUUGCUAUGUAGUGCUGAUUGUCAUAAAGGCUGAAAUCAGGAAGUCAAAAUGAGCCUGCCAACACAUCUAGCAUAUUUCUUAAGAUGAGCAUGUCAGAAAUUAUAUCGCGGAGACAUGAAAUUCAGAGAGAUUGAUGAUGCAUAUCAAAACAAUUAGAAACAUGCAUCAAAGGCCAAAUUGCAUAGAGCAUAGUGAUUCCAUUCUCUUCCUCACCACCCACAACACAAACCACC
This 510-nucleotide unclassified non-coding RNA is filed under the name Hevea brasiliensis (rubber tree). Lineage: Eukaryota; Viridiplantae; Streptophyta; Magnoliopsida; Malpighiales; Euphorbiaceae. The record is from RNAcentral.